Molecule: ribosomal RNA, 439 nt
Filed under: Dermatophilus congolensis
Lineage: Bacteria; Bacillati; Actinomycetota; Actinomycetes; Micrococcales; Dermatophilaceae
Description: bacterial SSU rRNA
Rfam family: Bacterial small subunit ribosomal RNA
Source: RNAcentral
AGCCCAGCUUGCUGGUGGAUUAGUGGCGAAUUGGCGACUGAUACGUGGAUUACCUGCCCUUGACUUUGCCUUUAACCUGGGAAAUGGGUCUAAAACCGUGUUUUCUCUUUUGCAGCAUGGUGGGGGUUGGAAAGAUUUUUUGGAUGGGGAUGGGCUCACGGCCUAUCAGCUUGUUGGAGGGGUGAUGGGCCGUAGCGUCUACCGGUCGGCCGAGGGUGACCUGACACGUAACGGAAAUAUGGACCAGACUCCUACGGCAGGCUCCUAUGGGAAAUAUUGCACAAUGGACGCGAGUCUGAUGCAGAAACCCCGCGUGGGGGAUGAAGGCUUUCGGGUUGUAAACUCCUUUCAGUACAGAAGAAGCAUUUGUGACGGUAUGUGCAGAAGAAGCGCCGGCCUACGUGCCAGCAGCCGCGGUAAUACGGGUGCGAGCGUAAUA